This is a ribosomal RNA of 661 nucleotides. The stretch from base 249 to 402 matches the Rfam family "5.8S ribosomal RNA".
GGGUUGUCGCUGGGUCUUUGGAGUAUGUGCACACUCAUUAUCUUUAUCCAUUCACCUGUGCACUUUUUGUAGUCUCAAAGAGUAAAUGCAACUAUACUUCAAUAGUUCUAUUGGAUGUGAGGAAUGCUUUGUGAAAGCAUAGCUUUCCUCAAUCAUGUUGCGGUUGCAAUUUGGACUAUGCUCUUCCAUACACUCUAUAGUAUGUUUCAGAAUGUAUCUAUAGGCCAUCGUGCCUCUAAAGUUAAUACAACUUUCAGCAACGGAUCUCUUGGCUCUCGCAUCGAUGAAGAACGCAGCGAAAUGCGAUAAGUAAUGUGAAUUGCAGAAUUCAGUGAAUCAUCGAAUCUUUGAACGCACCUUGCGCUCCUUGGUAUUCCGAGGAGCAUGCCUGUUUGAGUGUCAUUAAAUUCUCAACUACAAUUCCUUUUGAAAGUAAUUGUAGAUUGGACAUGGGGGUAUUGCAGGCCUUUCAAGGUCAGCUCCCUUAAAAUGCAUUAGCAGAACUGUUUGCAAGUCAGUCACUGGUGUGAUAAUUAUCUACGCCAAUAGACAUAAACUGCUCUCUAUCUGAUCUGCUUCUAAUGGUCUUUGUAGACAACCUUUUGAAUAUUUGACCUCAAAUCAGGUAGGAUUACCCGCUGAACUUAAGCAUAUCAAAGCC